GACGUCUCGGGCACCCUCUGAGACCAACCAGGAGAUACUGGGUGGGAGCAGAGGCAUUUAUAAGGGUACAGGGACAGGGGAACAAGGAGUGACCCUGAGAUCCCCCCCAGAACGAACUGAGAUUGCAGUCUACCACUUAGAAAGAUGGCCCGGAAUGGAAACUCCCUUCAGUUUUCAGAAACACCAGAGAGUUCUUUUUUGCAACACCUGACUUCCCAGCAAGAGAGUGUUGUGUCUGCAGCAUCACUGAAGUAGGUCAACUGAGUUGCAAGCAGGAUAAGGGAUGUGGAGGCGAUCAGGAUUUGAACACCGUCUCCAGGGUCCAUGCCCAUAAACACCCCACAGCACUACCCUCUACAUGCCUGCAAAGUGGAAAAAAACAUUCACGUUGGAAUAACAUAACUUGCCAUCCAUUAGUUUGCUCUGGCAGAAGGAUAAUGACACUUCAUGAAAUACAGCCGCAAAAUCGAGCCUUGUUCACUGCGUCCCCGGAAUGAGCUCCAAAAAGUAGAAACUUUCAAAUAAUGUCUUUCGCCGUCACUCACCCCCCAGCCCUCCCAGCUGCCAGGACGAGAAGGAAUAUAAAACCACUGUGAGGUUGCCAUUGUUUUCUCUCCAAAGAAAAUGUAUUUGUUUGUUUCCUAUAAGAAUAAAAUUUCAGGACCUUCCA
RNAcentral lists this long non-coding RNA (670 nucleotides) under Vulpes vulpes (red fox). RNAcentral describes it as "lncRNA (ENSVVUG00000029919.1)". Lineage: Eukaryota; Metazoa; Chordata; Mammalia; Carnivora; Canidae. The record is from RNAcentral.